GAUGAAGAACGUAGCGAAAUGCGAUAACUAGUGUGAAUUGCAGAUUUCAGUGAAUCAUCGAGUCUUUGAACGCACAUUGCGCCCCUUGGUAUCCCGAGGGGCAUGCCUGUUCGAGCGUCAUUUCACCACUCAAGCCUGGCUUGGUGUUGGGCGACGUCCUCUUUGGGGACGCGCCUCGAAACGCUCGGCGGCGUGGCACCGGCUUUAAGCGUAGCAGAAUCUUUCGCUUUGGAAGUCGGGGCCCCGUCUGCCGGAAGACCUGCUCGCAAGGUUGACCUCGGAUCAGGCAGGGAUACCCGCUGAACUUAAGCAUAUCAAUAAGCGGAGGA
This 329-nucleotide unclassified non-coding RNA is filed under the name soil metagenome. Its description in RNAcentral is "partial contains 5.8S ribosomal RNA, internal transcribed spacer 2, and large subunit ribosomal RNA". The stretch from base 1 to 120 matches the Rfam family "5.8S ribosomal RNA", at positions 35 to 154 of the family's 154-position model. The record is from RNAcentral.